UUAGAAAUACCUUAUUCUAAACUUUUUCUCCCUUUUGAGUUACUACCUCUUCUCAUUAAAAAAGGGCAAUAAACAAAGCCUACCCUGGAAAGCCAAAGUAAUCAUUUAGAGAUUUACAUCCUCCUACUGAUUCUAACAUGCUCCUUGGUGGCAGAAUUUCCAUCUCAGUUGGCAUCCCACAGAUGAGGAGGAUCAAUGCCCAGCAUGGCAGACCUAACAAUGUCUAUUCCUUUAUAGCAUCUGCAUGCCCAUGAGUUUAGUCCGAUAGUAAUACAGUGUCUCUGAUUGCUGAUAUUCAUGCUGGCAAAAUCAACACACCUCCAACUGAUUUUGCUUGAUGUCAAAGACACCUAGCAGUAACUCUCAAGUGUCUUGACAAGAUGCACAGAUGGCUUCUUUUCAGUUAAUAAUCUUUGCUAAUAUUAGCUUAAAGUUAUUUAGAAUAUGUGCAUCCUGAAUGGCUGGAUCUUAUUAAACUGGUCCCAUACUCAUCAUCAAAAAAGGAAUGUUGUCAUAAUUACCUAUCACAAGAGGCUCAUGGGAGAGAAUCUGCUCUUGGCAACCAGAGUCAUAUAGUUCCAGGCAUGUGCCAGUAUAAACUGGCAGUUUAUGCUAUUAAAAAGACAGUAAGCAGUUUUAUUUUGCAUUUCUCCUUUGUACUAAUGGGUCUUUUCUUGAACCUUCUUAUGCAAUGUAGUUGAAUAUUGGGACCUGAAAAAGGAAUAUAUUCACGGCCAAGAGACCAUAGGUUUCUGAUCCUCUAUGUUUUUGUUUACUGGACAAGAAAUAGAGUUGAAGUGUUUUAGAGGUUUUUGAAGCAAUUAAUUGUUACUGAAAAUUUAAGAAUUUGACUGUGCUGCUCUUUAAGUUCUCUUUGGUUUCAGGAGGCUAUGAAUUACAGAAUGAUUCUAUGCAAUCAAGUAAGGAAGUGACAGGUAAAAAUUGCCUGUUCAAUGUCAAUGAGCAAAAAGUUAUGGAGUCAGGUGAACCAUAGAAUCAUAAAUUGUUGUUUGUCCUUUAUUUUGAAGAGAACCAAUGACAUCAUGCAGUGAUGUCUUGACUUGCAUGUCUAUUAGAUUUAAGUGAGCCAGAAUUACACAGUUAUAGCAUCUCUCUUCCAGUCCCUCAUGUCCAGUGGUAAGACAAAAGUCAGGAUGACUGGUGAUAGCCCAGGAUGCAGUAGAUGACCUUGAUUCAGCAUCAUCGAUGUUUAACCAAGCUCUAAGUGCUCCAUGAUGCCUGCUUCAGCAGCCUUCCUGACCAUUAGGACAAAUUAUUCUAUUCCACCAGGGGAAGUCUUAAUAUGUUUGAAGUAGAUAUACCCUGAAGCCUAGGAUCAGGUCAGAUGAUGAUGAAGUUCAAGUUAUUAAAUGAGGAGGAAUAAAAUGAACUACAAAUUCUCCUUAGCUCUGAAUCCAUGCUAUCUCCUUUCUUAUAUGUUCUGUGAAGGUUACUGAAGGCAAGGACUAAACAGGGAAGACUUGAACAGGCUCAUCAUCCCAAAGAUCAACAAAGGUUUUGGAAGCAGAGACAGUAGGAGGGGAUAAGGAUUCAAAAGGCAAAGCCUCUGUGUGGAAAAGAAGAACAGACAGUGAGAAAAUGAACUCUCUCCUUCAACAAGACACAUCUCACCUGUUCUGGCUUAGGUCAUGUGCUAAAAUUUUUAGAAGCUCCCAGAAAUGCCAAAGACAAGCAUUCAAGGAAUAACUGUUGUGUUUGCUUGUCAUAUAAGUCUGACUUUAAUAACUCUAGUGGUUUUUAUGAGAAACCAUUUUUUCAGGGGCCAAGAACAAAGGCUGGUCCUAGGUGAAAUGAUGCAGGUAUUGGAAUUGCCUUUGGCAGAACUUCCCUUCUGAAUACCAGCUUUCACUUUCCUUUUCUCCCUAUCAUGUUGUCACAUCCAUUUGUGACAACACUCAAUAGUGCUCUCCUCUCUGGUCCUUCCUAAUCAUCAAUCAGCUCCCUGUGAAAACUUAUCUUUUAACUCACUUUUUAUAAGUUUGAAUAUGUCCUAAAGCUAGCUACCCUGAUCAACUAAAUUUUGUAAGGUAUUAUAGGGAAAUGAUGUAUAAAUAGGUAGCAGUCUGCCAUCUCUAUAGUACAAGCUCCUUAUGCAUAUUAAUACCAUGUUAAUUUUAGUAAAACUUCAGCAUCUUUCAUAUUCUUCUACUCGAGAUCAAAAUGUAUAUUUCUACCUUUCCUCAUGUGAAAGAGGAAGAAACAUGCUUUGUUCACAUUGUAAACUCUUACUCUUCUGUCUCCAAUGUUAUUUCCCCCAGAAUCUUGUGCCAUCAAUUAUCCAUUUUCUCUUGUAGUUUCACUCUGUCAUUCUCGAGUAUUAUCCUUCUUUCUACAAACAUGUUCUGUUGCCCUGUCCUAAAAAAAUAAAAUAAAAAGAAACCUUUUAAAUUUACCACAUAA
This is a non-coding RNA of Monodelphis domestica (gray short-tailed opossum), 2421 nucleotides long. Lineage: Eukaryota; Metazoa; Chordata; Mammalia; Didelphimorphia; Didelphidae. The record is from RefSeq and is a predicted model, not a curated record.